This is a long non-coding RNA of Macadamia integrifolia, 462 nucleotides long. RefSeq lists it as uncharacterized. Lineage: Eukaryota; Viridiplantae; Streptophyta; Magnoliopsida; Proteales; Proteaceae. The transcript has 3 exons. The record is from RefSeq and is a predicted model, not a curated record.
GGGCGCAAAGUUCUAUAAUAUUGAUAGUUUGCACUUAGAGCUUGGGAUGAACCUUUUCCUUUAUGGUGCAAUUUUGCGAGAAAGCGCUUUGGAAGUUCUAACAGAAGAUCUGGUGUAGUCUGCUACUCUGUACAGGAAAGCUGUCGGAGUUUAUCACUAUCUGGUUAAUGAAGUACUUCAAUCUUUACAACCUCCAUUCACUCAGGAAAGACCGCCAGAAUGUACCUCAUCUGUGUGUUCCAUUAUGAGCUUAAUUUGCCUUGCUGAAGCACAGAGUUGUUUGAUGAGGCUGGCAGUAUUCUACAUUCAGUGAAGAAAGACUCCAAAGAUACAAUUGCAAACAAGGAUUUCCUUUGUCCUCAUUCAACUUUUCUUUUUCAUUAUAGUUGUCAGUUUUUGGCUUUUGCUUAUCCUUUAUUGAUAGAUUCUAUGCUAUAAGGAUAUCCAUUUAUCAUGUCUAUG